UUUUGUUAAAACAAAUCUAUUAAAAAUAAUAAUAAUUUCUCUCAAACUGUACGUGGUGGAAUUAGAGUUGGGGGUGGAAAAAAAUACAUAAAUGAGGCUCUAUGGAGCAGUCACUUCGUCUGCAAGCACCAGAUUAUUCUCCUCUUUUCCUACUGCAAAGCAAGGGGUGAGAGUCCCAAACUACUGACCAAACAUAGUAUUUCAGUGAGUUUAUAGUUCAGUUUCAGUGAUAGCUAAAUUUCAACAAAACAAAAUAAAGUUAUAGGCUAUAUGCUUUUUAAACCAUCUAAAUCAUUCUGAAACAAAUACAGACUAUGUGUUUUUAUUUCAGAAUGAUCUUUAUUCAUUAAUUUCAAUUUAUCUUUUUUUCCAUAAUAAUAGAUUAAUUCAACACAGAGCUGCUCACCUCCUUCCUCAGUUGUGGGUAGGCCUACUGGGGCUGGUUCAGGGGUAGGUGGGGGUACUGGGGCUGGUUCAGGGGUAGGGGGGCUCACAGGGCUCACAGACCGCCGUGGCUGCGGCUGCUGCUGCACUUGACGUGUCUGUUCAAACAUGCAUCAUUUUUGACAGGAGGGGUGGUCAACUGAUUAAAUAUGGGCAGCUUGCUAAAUGUGAACAGUGAAAUCUAAAAAUCCAGAGUUUUCUUCCCAAAUAUGAGCUAAUAUGGGGAGAAAGUGAGCUAGCUUAGAAACCACAAGGUUAAGAUAAACAACAGACUAAUGUGUUCCAGAACUUUCCACCACAUGAACCAAACCCACCUUGUUUUUGGAAAAACUGGGUGACAUACUGACGCCCCUUUGCUUCUCUCUCCUGCCUAAUCUUUUUGUCUUUCCUUUUUUGGCUACCCGACUUCUCUCGGUCUCCUUACUGACUGAAUACACCCACACCGCGCAGCAUUUCAGUUGAUUCGAUGGGAGGACCGAACCAUUUUACUCAAGGGGGGCCUUGAGAAAUGUUUCCAAAAUAAACUUAGUGUUAUUAUCAGUGCAUUAAGUGAUGCAUAUUUAUGAUUAUAAACAAAAAAUUAGUGUCAUAUUAUUUUUGUCAGUGUUAUAAUAUUAUUAGGGGCCUUUCUGGGCCCCUGUCAAUGAUGGGCCCCUAGAAUCCUUCCCCUUAUCCCCCCCUUUUCGGUGCCCC
This 1137-nucleotide long non-coding RNA is filed under the name Sparus aurata (gilthead seabream). Its description in RNAcentral is "lncRNA (ENSSAUG00010006810.1)". Lineage: Eukaryota; Metazoa; Chordata; Actinopteri; Spariformes; Sparidae. The record is from RNAcentral.